RNAcentral lists this long non-coding RNA (2248 nucleotides) under Nicotiana benthamiana. RNAcentral describes it as "long non-coding RNA (NBEN_LNC040404)". Lineage: Eukaryota; Viridiplantae; Streptophyta; Magnoliopsida; Solanales; Solanaceae. The record is from RNAcentral.
UUUGAACCUAAACUACCCAAACUUCCGCCCAAUAACACCUAAGACCAAUCUUGCCCCGUGUAAACUGACCCAGACACCUUAAACCACAAUGUUUGAUAAAAAACGUUCAACGACUCAUAACCCUCAACCACUCUUCUCUUAUAACCCGACUCGAAACCCUAGACAUAUUGUCUCUGUCCCGCCGCGCUCAUAUGCUCUCAUCUCACCUUCCCUCUCUAUCAAACCCUAGCCGUCAUAACCCCUAAGCCUCUACGAUUCCAGCUCAAACAUGGAAUCAAUCCAUGAUUUACUUACCUAUUUUGUAUAUUCUAUCAUUAUACACAUGAUUCUGGCAUCACUUAGUUCUUUUCCUAUUUUUGGCAAGAACUACCUCUCAAGAACAGGCCGAUUUUCACUUCGAUUUUAUGAAGAUCCGGCGAUCUUCCGUCUUUAUAUAUGUUAAAUUGAACAGUCAUUGUAUUUUGUGUCUGAUUCAAGACGUCAAUCUCAAACAGGGUUUAAUAUUUUCCUUUAUUCUUUACUGACUUAUGAUUGAUACUCUUCCCUUUCUUGUGUUAAACUGAUAUUUUCCUCAUUUUAGCUUAACUCACCAGGUUUCCCUUAUUUUAAAUUUAUCUCGCCUUAAAACGAACUCUAAUUGAUUUUCAUAUGAUAUUUUUCUUAUUCUCUGUUGAACUUAUUGUAUUUUCUUAUUUUGAGUACUACUUGAUUCUUGCAUAUUACUUUUUAUCCCUUGUUUAAAUCACUGAUUUUCCUCAUUCUAUGUGUUAAAUGCCCUAAAAUUGAUUUUGAAUGAUUCUAGUAUAUCUUCCCUAUUUGUGUUUGAAAAUUUUGUUUCUAUGUUUACUUGUUUGAUUUCUACUAUAUAAACCCCUUACAGAAGAGAUUUUAAGACCCGGACUCUGACUACUGUUUUCCACUACUCUCUCAUUCACUUACUGUUACUUUCAAACUUGCUGAAACUAUUGAAUAACCUCCUCUGGUGCAAGCACUGCUUGGAGCCCAUUCUCGAGGCUCUUGUGAACUCUGAAGCAUCGGGGAUUUAGGGUUUUUUCUUCUAUGAUCUGCACUCUUUUAAUCUCGCUACUAGUUAGUAUUUAAACUCUCAUAAUAUUUAAAUUCUUUGCUGCAUAUGUACAUGAAUUUUCAUUCAACUGUGAUGGUGUUCAACUUUCAUGUCAUUCUAUGACACAUGAGAAUAGUCUACUACAAUUUGCAUUCUCUGAUCUCUCAUCUCUAGACCUUGUAGCAUCUUACAUGUUAAUUUGGGCUCCAAUUUUGUGGUUGUAUGAGUUUAUGAAUAUUGUGAUUAACUAAUGUUCUCAUGACACCCGAUCAUGUUUGUAUUAUACUUUUUAAUCCUAAGUUUGGUAAAUUUAAUCCUCUAAGUUCUAAAUUGGUUGCAUAACUUGGUUUUAUUAGUCCAAUGCCGUGCCUGUUAACUUUACAACCCUUGAUUCUUUGUCUUUUGUCAUAUGUUACCCUGCUAAUAUGCUAGUUUAUGUUCAGUAUGGGAUUAUCUUGUAAGUUCGAAAAUGCUUUUUCAAAACCUAUUACAUUAGUAUUAUUUUCACUAGUUGUUUCUUGUCAGGAGUUUAAUUCUGGGGCUGGUUGAAAGCCAAAUCCCUCCAUCUAAGUCUCCUCUAUCAACCUCUCUUGUGUGAGCACAACCCUGGGUUCUUGAAGCCCUAGGGAGCUAUGGCGCACUAAGGUCCAAGGUUCUUUGUCACUUUUCCUAAUUGCUCAACUAUGAACCAUUUCCACUUACUGGAAAAGACAAUGAGCUUGUGUAAAUGGUUGUCUUUCUAGGACUGUUGGUCAUCUCUGGCUACUGGGUUUUGGCUAUUCUGUGUGUAAAUGAAGAACAUUUUCGGGGUUUAAUUGGAUAUGAUUUCUGGGCUAUUUUAAAACCUGUUGGAUAUGAUGGGCUGGGUAUUUAGCUGUGUAUUUAGGCCUGUUAUAGACAUGUCUAUUGCCAUGUAAUAUUACUAUUUUACCUGUUAAUAUGGGUAUUAAUAAUACACUAUAUAAAUAAUUGGGCUGUUAGUGAAAGAGGAAUGGGUAAAAUUCUAAAUAUGACAUGGGUAGAUAACAUGCCUAUUGGACUUGACAAUGUGUUUCCUAUACGUGUUGUUCGAUUACAUGAGCCCUAUAGAAAUCAUGAUAUUAUGAGAAGCACACACACAACCCUACUUGUUAACUAUGCAGGCACUAUGUCUACUAUUGCGUGGAUAUAGAUCGCAUAUCU